This is a non-coding RNA of Drosophila melanogaster (fruit fly), 1011 nucleotides long. Lineage: Eukaryota; Metazoa; Arthropoda; Insecta; Diptera; Drosophilidae. The record is from Ensembl.
CUAUUUGCUGAAUAUAUGAUAAGGAUCAUAAACGCCAAGAUUGUGUCACUUUGCAACUGUCAUACGAAUGAUCAACAUCAACAUCAAAGUAACAGCACAAAGUCAACUUUAAACUUAAAAAUAAAAUAUAAGAACCUCCAAAAAACAUACUCUAUUUUGGUCUGAUAUGAUUAUUUAUUUCCUCAGUUAACUUAAAACUCUGAACGUAUUCGAGUCACCUAUUCAAACAGUCAGUCAUAAAGCAAGGGGAAUCCGAACUUCGGUACUUCUUUUGUUUAUGCUUGGCAUUACUCACUGGCAAAACAUAAAACCAUGAAUGACUGGCAUCUAGAUCUGGGAAAGGCCCCGCCCACUUGGAGACCUGAACAGCCUUGGUAAUCUAAUCGUAAGCCAUAUAAUGACCACUGGUUAGAGGUACAUAGAUAAAUUUCGGAAAGAUAAAGCAGAUUGCGCCACAUGAAUCACAUUCAGAGGCAGCGUUGCAGCUGCGGCAAACUUGAAAUAAAAAAAAGGAAAGAGCAAAAUAAUACAAUAAGGCCCGGGCCAGGAAGUCCGAUUUACAAAACACUUGUUUUGGAAAGUUUUUAGACAUUCCACGCCGCCCAAUGGACACGCUAUCAAUCAAAUCGCCGCUACUGAUAACACGAAUUCGAUCGAAAGCCGUUGGAGAUUUGACGCAAGUCCGGCGAUUGACUUCAAAGUCGUUUGCUCGGAUUUUCGACAGCCACAACGAGCAUGUAUUUCAAACUGCGACACCACGACAACAGACUUUGAAGUGCAGCGAGGGAUAAGAUACAGAUAGUGGGGGCACCACUCCAGGUGCCACUCCGAAACUCACCUCGUUCAUAUAUUCGGGUGCCGAUCCGGGCAGAGAGAGGAUAUAGUCCGCCGAUCUUUCGCUGGUACAGCUGCCGAAAUCAAUGCCCAGCACUCCCAUCUGACCCACCAAUUGCAGGAUGGACUCGUGGAUGUUCUGAUAUAUCUCGGGUAUCUUCUCUCGCCGUUCACUGU